GACAGCCGUGCGCCACCACACCCGGCUAAUUUUGUAUUAGUAGAGAUGGAGUUUCACCAUGUUGGCCAGGCUGGUCUCAGACUCCUGGGCUCAAGUAAUCUCCCCACCUCAGCCUCCCACAGGGCUGGCUGUCACUUGUUUUUAAGUUGUUAAACGUGCUCCCGGGAAGCUAAACUUAACACAGGACUGGUAGAGACACCACCUUCCUGUGGGUGGGGCUGCCUCCUACCUGGAGCAGCACUCACCUCCACCUGGCACUCCGUGAAAGGGGAGGGAGACUCUGUGGCUGCCAGAUGAGGGUGGCCCCUCUCCGUCUGUCCCCAGGCUGGGUCACCACCACUUUCUCCCUCUGCCAGGAGUAGAUGACUUUUCUGUUGCCGGGGGGAAGGGAGGUGCCUCCUGGUUCUGGAGAUUUGUCACUUCCUGGACACCACAUAGCUUGUGGAAAGCACUUUCUUAGGGUGCGCGUGGUGAUGAAGGCAGAGUGUCCUGUGUGAGAGGCUUCCUUCCUCCAGACUGUCUGCGGCAGAAGUGGGGUCAGGAACCUGCUGCCCAGCUUUCCUCCACAGGCUUGAUGUGUUUGAGCCAGAAGUAUGGGGCGUUUGCGGGGUCCUCCACAAGUACAAACAGGGUUCUGUCCCUUUUCAGGGGUCCCAGAGGAAAAGCACUCCUAUAGACUCUGAGCAGGGGCAGCUGCCACAUUCCGUUUGCUUCCUGAGCUUGUCUAGGUGAACAGAUUUCAGGUGGAAGGGCUCAUUGUCAUCCCCAAGCCAGGCCAGUUCUCCAGGUGGAACUGUAGUGUAGCGACCUCACUGCUGCGCGCACAGUCUCCCGGGACUUGGACUCGAGGGAGUGACGAGGAGGAGCUCCGAGCUGCGCCUGAGCCGUGCCAGCCGGCGGACCUCAGGCGGUGGACGUCGGCGAUAGCCGUGUGGACGGUGACCGGCUCACUCUGCGGCGCCGUGCUCCCGCUGCUCACCCAAAGAAGUUGUUUCCAUUUUAAACCGGUCUUUUGGGGCUGCAGUAAAAAAUAAGAAAUGGAGUUUUCUUGCUUUUUACUCUAAAAUUCAAUGUAAUUAAAUUUCAUAUAUAUAUAAUAUAUACAUAUAUACAUAGUGUAAAAUAAAAUGUUUCUUGGACAAGAAAUCCCCUGAAAUUCAGCUGUUAUAGUGCUUCACUGUUUUUGCACUGAUUUUUCUAUACCUUAGGUGGUCAGAAGACAACCUUGAAUGCACUCAUAGAGAAAACUGUUACUUUCUGACGUAAUGUAAUUCAGGAAGACAGACGCUGCAAUCACAGAUUUUAAAAAAUUGUUUGCACUUAAAAAUAGUUGAAUGCUGGUGGAAAGUUACUUUGCAGAUGGGUGUAAGGACUCAUGGCCCUCUGAGGUGCGGCGUGAAGAUGCCCUUUUUACCCGUUGACGUUUAUUUUACGUAAAAUAAACUGUUGUUUCCAAUGCAAUCAACUCUGUAUUAUAUGUAUAAAUAUUGUAAUUCUGCAAUUGGGGAAAAUAGUUACUUCACUAGUAAUUUUCAUCAUUUAAGAGUGAUAUUUCUAAUUCACAAAAGUUAAUAUUAAAACUAUCUUGAAUAUACCGCUUGUUUAUCUUCUGUUAAAUUGGCUUAGUUUGUCCUGUACAUUUGGGUUGAACUGGUUGGUAUGGAAUUGUUUUGUCUUUUUCACCCCAUGUUACUUGAAGCCCCCUCAC
This 1708-nucleotide long non-coding RNA is filed under the name Homo sapiens (human). RNAcentral's name for it is "HSALNT0216274". Lineage: Eukaryota; Metazoa; Chordata; Mammalia; Primates; Hominidae. The record is from RNAcentral.